RNAcentral lists this ribosomal RNA (381 nucleotides) under uncultured eukaryote. RNAcentral's name for it is "partial 18S ribosomal RNA". It matches the Rfam family "Eukaryotic small subunit ribosomal RNA", at positions 592 to 976 of the family's 1831-position model. The record is from RNAcentral.
CAAUAGCGUAUAUUAAAGUUGUUGCGGUAAAAAAGCUCGUAGUUGGAUUCCUACCGAAGAUAGCCGGUCGGGUCUUCGACCUUGUAUCUGGUUUUGUCUUUGGUAUCCUCAUAGGGAACGUUUCUGCGCUUUAUUGCGUGGUGCGGUAUCUAUGACUUUUACUUUGAGGAAAUUAGAGUGUUCACGGCAGGCAAACGCCUUGAAUAUAUUAGCAUGGAAUAAUAACAUAGGAUCUUCGUCCUAUUUUGUUGGUUUCUAGGGCUAAGAUAAUGAUUAAUAGGGAUAAUUGGGGGCAUCUGUAUCAACGCGUCAGAGGUGGAAUUCUUGGAUUGCGUUGCGACAAACUACUGCGAAAGCAUUUGCCAAGGAUGUUUUCAUCGA